UACGUAGGGGGCAAGCGUUGUCCGGAAUCAUUGGGCGUAAAGAGCGCGUAGGCGGCCCUGUAAGUCCGCUGUGAAAGUCAAGGGCUCAACCCUUGAAUGCCGGUGGAUACUGCAGGGCUAGAGUCCGGAAGAGGCGAGUGGAAUUCCUGGUGUAGCGGUGAAAUGCGCAGAUAUCAGGAAGAACACCCGUGGCGAAAGCGGCUCUCUGGAACGGUACUGACGCUGAGACGCGAAAGCGUGAGGAGCGAACAGG
Molecule: ribosomal RNA, 253 nt
Filed under: uncultured bacterium
Lineage: Bacteria
Description: partial 16S ribosomal RNA
Rfam family: Bacterial small subunit ribosomal RNA
Source: RNAcentral